GGAAUCUUGCACAAUGGAGGAAACUCUGAUGCAGCGAUGCCGCGUGAGUGAAGAAGGCCUUUGGGUUGUAAAGCUCUUUUGUAGGGGAAGAUAAUGACUGUACCCUAAGAAUAAGGUCCGGCUAACUUCGUGCCAGCAGCCGCGGUAAUACGAAGGGACUUAGCGUAGUUCGGAAUUACUGGGCGUAAAGCGCGCGUAGGCCGUUGAGUUAGUUAAUUGUGAAAUCCCAAAGCUUAACUUUGGAACUGCAAUUAAAACUGCUCGACUAGAGUUUGAUAGAGGAAAGCGGAAUACAUAGUGUAGAGGUGAAAUUCGUAGAUAUUAUGUAGAACACCAGUUGCGAAGGCGGCUUUCUGGAUCAACACUGACGCUGAGGCGCGAAAGUAUGGGUAGCAAAGAGGAUUAGAUACCCUCGUAGUCCAUACCAUAAACGAUGAUUGCUAGAUGUUGGAAAUUUAUUUUCAGUAUCGCAGCUAACGCAUUAAGCAAUCCGCCUGGGGAGUACGACCGCAAGGUUAAAACUCAAAUGAAUUGACGG
Molecule: ribosomal RNA, 538 nt
Filed under: uncultured bacterium
Lineage: Bacteria
Description: bacterial SSU rRNA
Rfam family: Bacterial small subunit ribosomal RNA
Source: RNAcentral